Long non-coding RNA from Gymnodraco acuticeps, 904 nucleotides. RefSeq lists it as uncharacterized. The transcript has 3 exons. The record is from RefSeq and is a predicted model, not a curated record. NCBI's taxonomy places the organism in Eukaryota, Metazoa, Chordata, Actinopteri, Perciformes, Bathydraconidae.
AUAGCAUGGCAGUAGACUACUACUAAUUUCCCCUAUGCAACCUGAAGAGUAAAAGGGUCAAGUCCGUCAGAAGGCAAUGACUGACUUGUCAUUGCACAGUACCAGUGUCAUCAUACUUCUAACAGAGUAUUCCUACACUCUGGUACUUCUACUUUCACUAAAGUACAAUAUCUGAAUAGAGGCUUCCUAAUGACGUCACGGGAUUUCGCGGCAGACAUCUUGGAGUACCACUCUACUGGUGGCAGCGUUCAAAAAUGGCGAAAAUGAAAGGCUACUACGAAUCACUAAACCCGGAGGAUAAGACCGUUUACAGAGAAAAAUAUACGUCGAUUGGUUCAGUGGACCCUUAUUUGAUUCCCGUUAAGGAUUACAGCACCGAUGUAAAUUAAUGGCCUUCACUUUCCUACUUUGAUAUCGUGAACUACCUAGUUUUUUCGUCUAUUCCAUUGUACACCAUGGAGGAAAUGAAGGCGUACAAAGGACUCUCUAGGCACAUAAAGAGUUCACAUCCGGGUGGAUCCGCGACAUUUGCGUUGCAUAUCAAGGAGAUGUGGCUGUAAUAGCUGGAAAAGUAUUGCAUUCUCAGAGUAUUUGGCUGCCGCCAACAUGUCCGUGGGUACUGAUGAAGAAGGAUGGUGCAGUCAUCACAGCUGGCAACUGCAAGGCUGGUUUGGGAUCAACAUAUACCCAUGUUGCAUCUCUCCUUUUCGACAUAGAAACAUCUAUACGGAUACGUGAUGCCAAGACAGUUACCCAGGAAAAGGCGUCCCCUCUCAAAAGAAACAGAAGUACUAAUCAAUCUGAAUGACAGUGUAUAUAUUAUUUGAUUGAACUUGUUUCUUUUACAUUAAAUCUAUAUAAAGAACAUGUAAGUACACGGCACCUCUGUUGUUUCCCCGACUCA